RNAcentral lists this unclassified non-coding RNA (281 nucleotides) under Hevea brasiliensis (rubber tree). The record is from RNAcentral. Lineage: Eukaryota; Viridiplantae; Streptophyta; Magnoliopsida; Malpighiales; Euphorbiaceae.
GUUUAGCUCUGUUUGCAACCCAGACAAUAGUCCUGUCUUGAAUCUCUUUAUACCAAAUACCGAUAUACCAUUUGUCUGAAUUUGCACCGCCUGGAGAGAAAAAGCCUAAUUCAAAGAGUUGAUCGGAAGAUACUAAGGUUUGAUCUUUGGUUAAAGACUGUGUUGGGGUGAUUGUAUCAGUGGGUAUAGCAAGAAUUGGAUGAAGAAAUUGAGAAAUCAAAAUCAAGAACAAGAAUUGGUGAAAGUAGUAAUCUUUGGUGUUUCUCAUUGUGUAAUUUAAG